GCACCGGCUAACUACGUGCCAGCAGCCGCGGUAAUACGUAGGGUGCAAGCGUUGUCCGGAAUUAUUGGGCGUAAAGAGCUCGUAGGCGGUUUGUCGCGUCUGCUGUGAAAACUGGAGGCUCAACCUCCAGCCUGCAGUGGGUACGGGCAGACUAGAGUGCGGUAGGGGAGAUUGGAAUUCCUGGUGUAGCGGUGGAAUGCGCAGAUAUCAGGAGGAACACCGAUGGCGAGCAGAUCUCUGGGCCGUAACUGACGCUGAGGAGCGAAAGCAUGGGGAGCGAACAGGAUUAGAUACCCUGGUAGUCCAUGCCGUAAACGUUGGGAACUAGAUGUAGGGGCCAUUCCACGGUUUCUGUGUCGCAGCUAACGCAUAAGUCCCGCCUGGGGAGUACGGCCGCAAGGCUAAAACUCAAAGGAAUUGACGGGGGCCCGCACAAGCGGCGGAGCAUGCGGAUUAAUCGAUGCACGCGAGACUUACCAAGGCUUGACAUAUACCGGAAAGCCACAGAAAUGUGGGCCCCGCAAGGUCGGUAUACAGGUGGUGCAUGGUUGUCGUCAGCUCGUGUCGUGAGAUGUUGGGUUAAGUCCCGCAACGAGCGCAACCCUCGUUCUAUGUUGCCAGCACGUUAUGGUGGGAACUCAUAGGAGACUGCCGGGGUCAACUCGGAGGAGGUGGGGAUGACGUCAAAUCAUCAUGCCCCUUAUGUCUUGGGCUUCACGCAUGCUACAAUGGCCGGUACAAAGGGCUGCAAUACCGUAAGGUGGAGCGAAUCCCAAAAAGCCGGUCUCAGUUCGGAUUGAGGUCUGCAACUCGACCUCAUGAAGUCGGAGUCGCUAGUAAUCGCAGAUCAGCAACGCUGCGGUGAAUACGUUCCCGGGCCUUGUACACACCGCCCGUCAAGUCAUGAAAGUCGGUAACACCCGAAGCCGGUGGCCCAACCCCUUGUGGGAGGGAGCUGUCGAAGGUGGGAUCGGUGAUUAGGACUAAGUCGUAA
This 994-nucleotide ribosomal RNA is filed under the name Subtercola frigoramans. Its description in RNAcentral is "bacterial SSU rRNA". It matches the Rfam family "Bacterial small subunit ribosomal RNA", at positions 490 to 1491 of the family's 1533-position model. The record is from RNAcentral. Lineage: Bacteria; Bacillati; Actinomycetota; Actinomycetes; Micrococcales; Microbacteriaceae.